AGUUUUGAGCUAAAUAUAUUUAUAAUAUUAGUUAUUUAUGAAGGUGUUGUAAAAUCUUUAUUUAAAAUUAUAUUUAGGGGUGAUAGGCCUUUCAAAAACUAAGAUAUCUUGAAUCUAAUUAAAAGUAUGUAGUACAAUUAACACAACUAUUAAGUGAUUAGGCUUUAUAGAAUUAUUAACUUAUAAGAUUUUACUUACUAUAAUUUAAUAAUUAAGUAUAUAAAUAUAUUAAUAUUCAUAUAUUAUAGUUUAUAAAAGAGUAAUUAGAUAGAUUUAAGUUCAUAUUUCUUAUAAUAAUGUUAAUAUUAGUAUUAAGUUUAUAUUUAUAUGAUGAACUCGGCAAAAAUACUUCUCAACUGUUUAUCAAAAACAUAACUAUGUGAAUGAAUACAUAGCGGUUUCUGCUCAA
RNAcentral lists this ribosomal RNA (409 nucleotides) under Mandarina polita. Its description in RNAcentral is "partial 16S ribosomal RNA". The record is from RNAcentral. Lineage: Eukaryota; Metazoa; Mollusca; Gastropoda; Stylommatophora; Camaenidae.